UAAAAGGCAAACUUGUUGAAAGACAGGGACGCAAAGCCAAGGGUCUAAGGUCUCAGGACUAUGACAGCCGGUUGCCGC
RNAcentral lists this non-coding RNA (78 nucleotides) under Blautia faecis. RNAcentral's name for it is "Cyclic di-GMP-I riboswitch". It matches the Rfam family "c-di-GMP-I riboswitch aptamer". Rfam says of the family: GEMM was predicted in a large-scale screen for bacterial structured RNA regulatory elements. The record is from RNAcentral. Lineage: Bacteria; Bacillati; Bacillota; Clostridia; Lachnospirales; Lachnospiraceae.